AUGCUGGAGGUAUCAGAAGUGCGAAUGCUGACGUGAGUAACGACAAAACGGGUGAAAAACCCGUUCGCCGAAAGACCAAGGGUUCCAGUCCAACGUUAAUCGGGGCUGGGUGAGUCGACCCCUAAGGCGAGGCCGAAAGGCGUAGUCGAUGGGAAAAUGGUUAAUAUUCCAUUACUUCUGUGUAAUGCGAUGAGAGGACGGAGAAGGCUAAAUCAGCCUGGCGUUGGUUGUCCAGGUGAAAGGAUGUAGGCAUGUAUCUUAGGCAAAUCCGGGGUACUCUAUGCUGAGAUCUGAUAGCAAGCUGUACUUGUACAGCGAAGUGGUUGAUGCCAUGCUUCCAGGAAAAGUCUCUAAGCUUCAGUUACACAGGAAUCGUACCCGAAACCGACACAGGUGGUCAGGUCGAGUAGACCAAGGCGCUUGAGAGAACUCUGCUGAAGGAACUAGGCAAAAUGGUACCGUAACUUCGGGAGAAGGUACGCUGUUGUUGGUGAUGGAACUCGCUUCCUGAGCUGACGACAGCCGCAGAAACCAGGCCGCUGCAACUGUUUAUUAAAAACAUAGCACUCUGCAAACACGAAAGUGGACGUAUAGGGUGUGAUGCCUGCCCGGUGCUGGAAGGUUAAUUGAUGGGGUUAGCGUAAGCGAAGCUCUUGAUCGAAGCCCCAGUAAACGGCGGCCGUAACUAUAACGGUCCUAAGGUAGCGAAAUUCCUUGUCGGGUAAGUUCCGACCUGCACGAAUGGCAUAAUGAUGGCGGCGCUGUCUCCAGCAGAGGCUCAGUGAAAUCGAAAUCGCUGUGAAGAUGCAGUGUACCCGCGGCUAGACGGAAAGACCCCGUGAACCUUUACUGCAGCUUGACACUGAACUUUGACCUUACUUGUGUAGGAUAGGUGGGAGGCUUUGAAGCUGGAACGCUAGUUCCAGUGGAGCCGUCCUUGAAAUACCACCCUGGUAAUGUUGAGGUUCUAACUCUGUCCCGUGAUCCGGGACGAGGACCGUGUCUGGUGGGUAGUUUGACUGGGGCGGUCUCCUCCUAAAGAGUAACGGAGGAGUACGAAGGUGCGCUCAGCGUGGUCGGAAAUCACGCGUAGAGUAUAAAGGCAAAAGCGCGCUUAACUGCGAGACCCACAAGUCGAGCAGGUACGAAAGUAGGUCUUAGUGAUCCGGUGGUUCUGUAUGGAAGGGCCAUCGCUCAACGGAUAAAAGGUACUCUGGGGAUAACAGGCUGAUACCGCCCAAGAGUUCAUAUCGACGGCGGUGUUUGGCACCUCGAUGUCGGCUCAUCUCAUCCUGGGGCUGAAGCAGGUCCCAAGGGUAUGGCUGUUCGCCAUUUAAAGAGGUACGCGAGCUGGGUUUAGAACGUCGUGAGACAGUUCGGUCCCUAUCUACCGUGGGCGCUGGAAAUUUGAGAGGAUCUGCUCCUAGUACGAGAGGACCAGAGUGGACGAACCUCUGGUGUACCGGUUGUGACGCCAGUCGCAUCGCCGGGUAGCUAUGUUCGGAAGGGAUAACCGCUGAAAGCAUCUAAGCGGGAAGCCUACCUCAAGAUAAGAUUUCCCUAGGACUUUAUGUCCUCUAAAGAGCCGUUCGAGACUAGGACGUUGAUAGGUUGGAUGUGGAAGCAUAGUGAUAUGUGAAGCUGACCAAUACUAAUUGCUCGUGAGGCUUGACUA
Molecule: ribosomal RNA, 1675 nt
Filed under: Acinetobacter baumannii 1488685
Lineage: Bacteria; Pseudomonadati; Pseudomonadota; Gammaproteobacteria; Moraxellales; Moraxellaceae
Also listed under: 1 other name
Description: bacterial LSU rRNA
Rfam family: Bacterial large subunit ribosomal RNA
Source: RNAcentral